GGAGUAACACGUGAGCAACCUGCCCUUCGAGGGGGACAACAGCGGGAAACUGCUGCUAAUACCGCAUAAUGUAUCUUGGAGGCAUCUCUGGGAUACCAAAGAUUUUUAUCGCCGAAGGAUGGGCUCGCGUCUGAUUAGAUAGUUGGUGGGGCAACGGCCCACCAAGUCUGCGAUCAGUAGCCGGACUGAGAGGUUGAACGGCCACAUUGGGACUGAGAUACGGCCCAGACUCCUACGGGAGGCAGCAGUGGGGAAUAUUGGGCAAUGGGGGCAACCCUGACCCAGCAACGCCGCGUGGAGGAAGAAGGCUUUCGGGUUGUAAACUCCUUUGACGAGGGACGAUGAUGACGGUACCUCGAAAACAAGCCACGGCUAACUACGUGCCAGCAGCUGC
RNAcentral lists this ribosomal RNA (394 nucleotides) under uncultured bacterium. RNAcentral describes it as "bacterial SSU rRNA". It matches the Rfam family "Bacterial small subunit ribosomal RNA", at positions 107 to 518 of the family's 1533-position model. The record is from RNAcentral.